Non-coding RNA from Pelobates cultripes (western spadefoot toad), 593 nucleotides. Lineage: Eukaryota; Metazoa; Chordata; Amphibia; Anura; Pelobatidae. The record is from the annotation of a GenBank genome assembly.
CACUUUUAUGGGGAUUUUAUGUGUUUUUGGCGUACUUUUGGGGUUUUGCAAAAUAUGUGUUUUUUCUGCCUGGAGAUAAUUGGGUUAAUACAGUAUUGACUCAAUUAUAUCCUAGGCAGAGGGGAGGGAUUGUAUGCCAUGUGUGGGAGUGUCUUCUAUUGUAAAUGUGUUAUCAUUGGUUUGUAAGUUUGUGUCCCUGUCCCCAACAAGGUCCAUGUGGGCGUAUACCUUGCUUGUAGAUUGUCAUAAAAGCCAGUGUGGCACCAUUAAAAUUCAGAUCCUGCUUUACCUUCAACAAAGAGCCUUGCCUCGUAUUUGUAGGAACCUGCUAUACCACUAGCUCUUGUAAGAACUUCACAGCUAUGCCUACUCUUCGCUGCUUGGACUGAUGGUGGGGAAUACUUCAGCGCUCUCUACUCUAGAGGGAAAAGGCAUCUCUGACAGCGGAAACCCCUCCACUAGUAGGGUGGCCAUUACAUAUAGCUAAUCCGGGUUCUUGCUCCUUGAUACGGAAGGUACCCGCAUUGGUAUUCAUGCUACACUAGAGGAAGCUGUUAAGAGUUAAGAUCUGAUCGGGGGAAAGACAAAAUGGG